This 71-nucleotide transfer RNA is filed under the name Loxodonta africana (African savanna elephant). It matches the Rfam family "tRNA". From Rfam's summary of the family: Transfer RNA (tRNA) molecules are approximately 80 nucleotides in length. Their secondary structure includes four short double-helical elements and three loops (D, anti-codon, and T loops). The record is from Rfam by way of RNAcentral. Lineage: Eukaryota; Metazoa; Chordata; Mammalia; Proboscidea; Elephantidae.
GCAGUGGUAGUUCAGUGGUAGAAAUAUCACCUUCCAUGUGGGAGACACAGGUUCGAGUCCCGGCCAGUGCA